Molecule: ribosomal RNA, 253 nt
Filed under: uncultured bacterium
Lineage: Bacteria
Description: partial 16S ribosomal RNA
Rfam family: Bacterial small subunit ribosomal RNA
Source: RNAcentral
UACGUAGGUGGCUAGCGUUGUCCGGAAUUAUUGGGCGUAAAGAGCUCGUAGGCGGCUUGUCGCGUCGGCUGUGAAAACUCGGGGCUCAACCCCGAGCCUGCAGUCGAUACGGGCAGGCUAGAGUCCGGCAGGGGAGACUGGAAUUCCUGGUGUAGCGGUGAAAUGCGCAGAUAUCAGGAGGAACACCGGUGGCGAAGGCGGGUCUCUGGGCCGGAACUGACGCUAAGGAGCGAAAGCGUGGGGAGCGAACCGG